This is a non-coding RNA of Pangasius djambal, 72 nucleotides long. Lineage: Eukaryota; Metazoa; Chordata; Actinopteri; Siluriformes; Pangasiidae. The record is from the annotation of a GenBank genome assembly.
ACCUUGGAGGUCUAGUGGUUAGGCCUCUGUGCAAUCACCACUGUGGCCCGGGUUUGAUUCCUGGCCAGGGAA